Molecule: non-coding RNA, 304 nt
Organism: Lonchura striata (white-rumped munia)
Lineage: Eukaryota; Metazoa; Chordata; Aves; Passeriformes; Estrildidae
Source: RefSeq, a predicted model, not a curated record
GAACUACUGACUGAAAAAUAGAGUGAAUAUGCACAUGCACAAAGCCAGCUGUAUCUUUACUGCCUUCGAUGUGAGAACUAAAAAUCUCAGAUAGAGCUGCAAUCCUGUUUCCAGAGGAUCCCUCGGAAGAUCCCUGGAGUGCAGAAAAAGGAGACCACUAGAAACAGGGAGCAGUGUGGUGUUGAAAAGAGGUCAGAAAUGCUGUGCCUGUGAAAAAUCUCAAGAAAACCACUGAGUCAGGGAGCCCUGGAAGCUUAUGUCCCAAGGCUUUCCAGCAAAUGAGCCACCAAGCUGCUCCCUACUG